Capsella rubella is the source of this 348-nucleotide long non-coding RNA. RefSeq lists it as uncharacterized. The record is from RefSeq and is a predicted model, not a curated record. The transcript has 3 exons. Lineage: Eukaryota; Viridiplantae; Streptophyta; Magnoliopsida; Brassicales; Brassicaceae.
GCAAUCAGAGAGACAAAGAAGAAGAAAAGCAAAAGCCUAAUAUCUUGAUAUCAUGGUGCUAAAUCUGAGUUCUGUAGUUGCGCAAUUAACUCGCAGAGGGAGAUCAGCUCUGUCUCGUCGCAAUUUCAGUUCAGCCCCUGUUAGCGAUGAGUCGAUAAGUCAAGGAGAGCUCUUCAUAUAUAAUUGUUUAUCAGCUUAUGUGGCAAUCAAACUAGAUCGUUAUGGACGUGAAGAGCAUGCAUCGAAAUUUAAAGGGAAAGGGGACGAAGAGGUAAAAACAAAAUCAAGUGACGAUUGCUAAUUAUCCUCUAUUCUAGUCAGUUUAACUAAGACAUAAUAAUUAUGUUU